Molecule: long non-coding RNA, 512 nt
Filed under: Panax ginseng (ginseng)
Lineage: Eukaryota; Viridiplantae; Streptophyta; Magnoliopsida; Apiales; Araliaceae
Description: long non-coding RNA (PGIN_LNC011387)
Source: RNAcentral
AAGAUAAAAUAUAAAAAAAUAUUAUAUACAUCAUUUAAAAUCAUUCAUAUUACAACAUUACAAUAUAAUAAUUGAAUGAACUACCAACCACCCAACAUUACAGUGACUACAUAUAUUGAUUGAAAAACUAGCAACUACCAACCACCCAAUGUUUUGUUUAAUCAAAAGAUUAGUGCAACAAGGCUGACAUGACAAACAGAUACUCCUCCAUUUGAAGCCGAAGCAGUGGGUUCCCCAGCUUGUUUAGCUGUACUUGUAGACCCAUCAUGAACUGCUUCAAUACUCCCACUUGUUUAGCUGUACUUGUACCACUACAUAUAAAAUUAGCAAACUUAAAAAUAUUGAAAAUAUAACCACCUGUAAUGUAAUUUCCAUAAGAAAAAAUCAUUGUCAUACCAUUUUCGAAAUUGACGAGUGAUAUACAUACAUACUAAAUAAGCUAGAAUAGAAAUGUUCUUUUAGCAUCUAUUUACAUUGCAAUCAAGAGCAUAUCUCCUCUAAAUCCACACANN